RNAcentral lists this ribosomal RNA (481 nucleotides) under uncultured bacterium. Its description in RNAcentral is "partial 16S ribosomal RNA". It matches the Rfam family "Bacterial small subunit ribosomal RNA", at positions 28 to 507 of the family's 1533-position model. The record is from RNAcentral.
GAUGAACGCUGGCGGCGUGCUUAACACAUGCAAGUCGAACGAAGCACUUUAUUUGAUUUCCUUCGGGACUGAUUAUUUUGUGACUGAGUGGCGGACGGAUGAGUAACGCGUGGGUAACCUGCCUUGUACAGGGGGAUAACAGUUGGAAACGGCUGCUAAUACCGCAUAAGCGCACAGCAUCGCAUGAUGCAGUGUGAAAAACUCCGGUGGUAUAAGAUGGACCCGCGUUGGAUUAGCUAGUUGGUGAGGUAACGGCCCACCAAGGCGACGAUCCAUAGCCGACAUGAGAGGGUGACCGGACACAUUGGGACUGAGCCACGGCCCAAACUCCUACGGAAGGCAGCAGUGGGGAAUAUUGCACCAUGGGCGAAAGCAUGAUGCAGCGACGCCGCGUGAGCGAAGAAGUAUUUCGGUAUGUAAAGCUCUAUCAGCAGGGAAGAUAAUGACGGUACCUGACUAAGAAGCACCGGCUAAAUACGUG